This 317-nucleotide ribosomal RNA is filed under the name uncultured Prevotella sp. RNAcentral's name for it is "bacterial SSU rRNA". It matches the Rfam family "Bacterial small subunit ribosomal RNA", at positions 28 to 334 of the family's 1533-position model. Lineage: Bacteria; Pseudomonadati; Bacteroidota; Bacteroidia; Bacteroidales; Prevotellaceae. The record is from RNAcentral.
GAUGAACGCUAGCUACAGGCUUAACACAUGCAAGUCGAGGGGAAACGGCAUUGAGUGCUUGCACUCUUUGGACGUCGACCGGCGCACGGGUGAGUAACGCGUAUCCAACCUUCCCAUUACUGUGGGAUAACCUGCCGAAAGGCAGACUAAUACCGCAUAGUCUUCGAUGACGGCAUCAGAUUUGAAGUAAAGAUUUAUCGGUAAUGGAUGGGGAUGCGUCUGAUUAGCUUGUUGGCGGGGUAACGGCCCACCAAGGCGACGAUCAGUAGGGGUUCUGAGAGGAAGGUCCCCCACAUUGGAACAGAGACACGGUCCAA